AAUGAACGCUAGCGGUAGGCCUAACACAUGCAAGUUGAACGCAUACUAUUACAGUAUAAGUAGCAAACGGGUGAGUAACGCGUGAGAAAUCUACCUUACAAUCUGGGAUAAAAUCCCGGAUUCUUUCUAAACUAGAUGUUCCGACAAAUAGUAUAGAAUAAAAGAUUAAAUGUCGUUGUAAGAUGUGCUCGCGUAGGAUUAGGUAGUUGGUGAGGUAAAAGCUACACCAAGCCGAAGAUCCUUAGCUGGUCUGAGAGGAUGAUCAGCCACACUGGGACUGAGACACGGCCCAGACGCUUUCGAGCGGCAGCAGUGAGGAAUUUUGGACAAUGGGCGAAAGCCUGAUCCAGCCAUAUCGCAUGAGUGAAGAAGGCUCAAUUGGUUGUAAAGCUCUGAUUUGAUUGAAGAUUAUGACAUAAGAUCAAAGAAGAGUCCCGGCUAACUCCGU
Molecule: ribosomal RNA, 448 nt
Filed under: uncultured bacterium
Lineage: Bacteria
Description: partial 16S ribosomal RNA
Rfam family: Bacterial small subunit ribosomal RNA
Source: RNAcentral